Molecule: ribosomal RNA, 525 nt
Filed under: uncultured bacterium
Lineage: Bacteria
Description: bacterial SSU rRNA
Rfam family: Bacterial small subunit ribosomal RNA
Source: RNAcentral
AAUAGAUACCCGGUAGUCCACGCCGUAAACGAUGAGUGCUAAGUGUUAGAGGGUUUCCGCCCUUUAGUGCUGCAGCUAACGCAUUAAGCACGUCCGCCUGGGGAGUACGGACCGCAAGGCUGAAACUCGAAAGGAAUUGACGGGGGCCCGCACAAGCGGUGGAGCAUGUGGUUUAAUUCGAAGCAACGCGAAGAACCUUACCAGGUCUUGACAUCCUCUGCCAACCCUAGAGAUAGGGCGUUCCCCUUCGGGGGACAGAGUGACAGGUGGUGCAUGGUUGUCGUCAGCUCGUGUCGUGAGAUGUUGGGUUAAGUCCCGCAACGAGCGCAACCCUUGAUCUUAGUUGCCAGCAUUCGAGUUGGGCACUCUAAGGUGACUGCCGGUGACAAACCGGAGGAAGGUGGGGAUGACGUUAAAUCAUCAUGCCCCUUAUGACCUGGGCUACACACGUGCUACAAUGGAUGGUACAAAGAGCUGCGAACCCGCGAGGGUAAGCGAAUCUCAUAAAGCCAUUCUCAGUUCGGA